Molecule: non-coding RNA, 273 nt
Filed under: Phascolarctos cinereus (koala)
Lineage: Eukaryota; Metazoa; Chordata; Mammalia; Diprotodontia; Phascolarctidae
Source: RNAcentral
ACUGGGCAUAAUGGAGUAUGUCUGUAAUCCCUGUUGCUGAGAGAAGCUGAGACUGGUGGAUUGCUUGAGCUCAAGAAUUCUGAGAUGCAGUGGGCUAAGCCAUUUUCAGUAAGCUCUUAGGACCAAGAGGCCACCAAGUUGUCCAAGAAGGGUUGAACCAAUCCAGGAUAGAAACAGAACAUAUCAAAGCUUCCAUGAAGACAAAUAGUUGAAUUUGGCUUGUGAAUGUCUGCUGUACUUUCAGGUUGGUUGAGAUAGGAAUACCCAAUCUCU